AUCAGUGGCGAAGCUACGGGUAUUUUGUGAUGUCAAGCGACAUCACAAAAAUAUGCUUAGCUAGCUAAUCUUAGCUACGUUUAACUGUAUAUGUUUACAUAAACGUAAAUUUUUGAGCUAUCGACAUCAUUGGCUUCUAUAGCUAGCGCUGCCACUUAUGCACGUAGGACAAGUUGCUAAGCAUAUUUGGUAUACAUAGGUGAAGUUGCUGAGAUUACAUCGAUAGAACUUUUGGAAGUGUCACUGAACACAAAUCUAAACAAUGCAUCACAAAUCUAAACAAUGCAUCAUAGUCGAUGUCAAGUUCCUCCGCCGAGAAGUCCGAAGAGCCGGAGGAUGAUGAAGCCUUGCCCUUGUUCUAUUUAGACAAUAAUGAUGUUUUCUGAAAUGGGAAAUAUAUCAAAUAUGAAUUGCUAUUUUCAAGAAAUGUCUUGCUAAUGUUUAUGGCUUGUACAAUCUGUUUUCAUAUGGCCUAGUAGCUAAAUGUUAUUUGCUUGUCAUUAUACCAACAGUUAAAGCAGAUCUAAGCCUCCUCCAUGAAUAAGGUUUCAUUUGGAGGUACCAUCUUUAUUAAAACUUUGGCAAAACAAUGUCUAUGUUCAAAGGACCAUGCAACCCCUUUGCAUCUAAAUAAAUUUAGACUCGGCAUCAUGAAAGAAACUAAGAUAACUUGGGAUAUUAAUGUGUUGCCAAGAGUAGAACCAUAAUAGUGUACUGUCUCCAAGGAAAGAAUAGGAAAAUAACUAAAUUAAAACAAAUAAAUAAAUAGCUGAGUGGUCGAGUAUUAUGGCAAUUCACUUUUCAACUGGGCAGCCAUAGCUAACAUAAUAAACCAGCAACCAAUUCGCCAUUUUUGAUGGGAGCCAUGGAAAAAAAGCAGAGAAUUGAGAACUAAAUCUAAAACAGAAAUUAUCUCUUUAAAAAUAGCCAUUGAAGGGGAAAGAGGACCAUUGUCAGCUAUCCUUGUCCUCAAUGCACCGAGUAUCGUGGUUUCUUCGAUGGUGUUUUACAGCAUAAGAAAACCAGAUGUGCAGUUACUUGUUCAUAUAAGAGGAAAACUCUCAAUUAAUUUCAAGUGAUAUUUGGAUGUGCACACAAGGUAAAGAAAAAAAAAGAUUUCUACAGAUUCAUCUACUUGUGCAUGACUACUAAAAUCAAUGUCUUUUUCGGUAUUAUAUGAUCCCGAACUCUUUCAGGAGACUUAGUAUAGUCUCAGUGUCAUCAACAAAUAUAAGCAUUCUGAUCAGGUUAUGAACCUAGACCAACACAACAACAUGAAAUCAAUAUAAUAAAAGAUUAAAUUAAUGGAGAUAAAUAAGGCAAAUAAAAACAAAGGACGACCAAUCUCGAGAAAAGAAGAUGAUAUAAAUCAACACCCAAUUAUACUGAAACGAAAAAAUCUUUUUCUUUUAAGAAAAACAGUGAAAAUAACCUGUACGGCUGUACCAAUAAGAGCAUUUCCUUGGUAUAUCCUCGUAAAAUAGAAAGGGGGAAACACUGAGAUGUAAGGGA
Molecule: long non-coding RNA, 1512 nt
Filed under: Triticum aestivum (bread wheat)
Lineage: Eukaryota; Viridiplantae; Streptophyta; Magnoliopsida; Poales; Poaceae
Description: long non-coding RNA (TAES_LNC016509)
Source: RNAcentral